GCCCCCGUUGGCUAAUUGGAUAAGCUCCGAUCCUUCUAAGUUCGUUUAUGCAGGUUCGAGUCCUGCCGGGGGCGCCA
RNAcentral lists this transfer RNA (77 nucleotides) under Acidocella aluminiidurans. RNAcentral describes it as "tRNA-Arg". It matches the Rfam family "tRNA". From Rfam's summary of the family: Transfer RNA (tRNA) molecules are approximately 80 nucleotides in length. RNAcentral also lists the same sequence under 4 other names. The record is from RNAcentral. Lineage: Bacteria; Pseudomonadati; Pseudomonadota; Alphaproteobacteria; Acetobacterales; Acidocellaceae.